GACGGAGGAUGCAAGCGUUAUCCGGAAUUAUUGGGCGUAAAGCGUCCGCAGGUGGCUGUUCAAGUCUGCUGUCAAAGCGCAGAGCUUAACUCUGUACAGGCGGUGGAAACUGAAGAGCUAGAGUAUGGUAGGGGUAGAGGGAAUUCCCGGUGUAGCGGUGAAAUGCGUAGAUACUGGGAGGAACACCAGUGGCGAAGGCGGGUCUCUGGGCAACAACUGACGCUGAGGAGCGAAAGCGUGGGGAGCGAACAGG
Molecule: ribosomal RNA, 253 nt
Filed under: uncultured bacterium
Lineage: Bacteria
Description: partial 16S ribosomal RNA
Rfam family: Bacterial small subunit ribosomal RNA
Source: RNAcentral